Molecule: non-coding RNA, 771 nt
Organism: Nylanderia fulva
Lineage: Eukaryota; Metazoa; Arthropoda; Insecta; Hymenoptera; Formicidae
Source: RefSeq, a predicted model, not a curated record
UAUAUAUAAUUUUAUAUAUAUAAUUAUAUAUUAUAUUUUUUUAAACAAUAACACUAUUCUGAACCACUGAACUCAUGAAUAAUAUAAUUGGAAUAAUGGAUCUGGAAAGUGAAUUUUAACCUCUGGACGUGCAUAUAUGGUAGAUUAUACAAUUUCAAAUUUUGCUAUUCCGCAAAAGUUACGUAAACAAAAUGAAGCGUUAAUAAAAGAAGAAGGAUGAUUAUUUUGAAACACAUUUUCUGUUGCCGAGAUGCUCAUCAUUUACCGGGCCUGGAAACAUACCGACGAACUUGAAGAGAAUUUUAUCGAGUUUAGUAAAUAAAUUUUUUUAAUUCACAUUUUUGUAUACGCGAUAAAAUUUCAAGCAGUUAUAUAAUAAGCGCAUCUGAAAAAUUGUAAAAAGCACGGAUAAUUAAUAGAAAAUUAUUCUCAUCUUGAUAGCGACACUUGUCUCUAUAUGAUUCAUUUUAUUUUAUGCAUCAUAUCGUUUUAUAGCGAUAGCUUCAAAAUCAAACUAUUUUAGUAGGACACAUAUAUAUAUAUAUUUCAUACUCGAUAAAAUACUUUGUGUAUUCACUUUUUUAUGUAUGUCAACGAAAUAAUUUAGGAAUGUAUGCUAUGAAAGCCUAUCCUGAUAUUAUAUUGCUUUCUAAUAUAGUAUUAUGUUCAUUUUUAUUCUAUCAUGGCACAUUAAUCUUAUGAGAAAUUUAACGCAUGUAAGUUGAAGUAAUCGAUACGAAUAAAACUGCCAACGUCUCAAAAAAUUUAAAA